RNAcentral lists this ribosomal RNA (253 nucleotides) under uncultured bacterium. RNAcentral describes it as "partial 16S ribosomal RNA". It matches the Rfam family "Bacterial small subunit ribosomal RNA", at positions 524 to 776 of the family's 1533-position model. The record is from RNAcentral.
UACGGGGGGGGCUAGCGUUGUCCGGAAUCAUUGGGCGUAAAGAGCGUGUAGGCGGCCCGAUAAGUCCGCUGUGAAAGUCCAGGGCUCAACCCUGGGAUGCCGGUGGAUACUGUCGGGCUCGAGUCCGGAAGAGGAGUGUGGAAUUCCUGGUGUAGCGGUGAAAUGCGCAGAUAUCAGGAGGAACACCAAUGGCGAAGGCAGCACUCUGGGACGUGACUGACGCUGAGACGCGAAAGCGUGGGGAGCAAACAGG